GCACAGCCCAGAGUCCCAUCCAACCUGCAGGCUGCACUAAGGCUCUGAGUGUUAAUUCUGCAGUCUUCCCUCUCGACAGCUUGCUGAGAGCCUUCAGACAGGACUCACAGACACUCAGACACACAGCACCCAUUCACUGCCAUGGUGACAGCAGGAACCACAGCCCUGGGGUUUGGCAGGCCAGCUCCUGCCAGCGUCCUUUCGUUGUCUCCCAGCUGCCCAGCACAGGAGAGGAACAGCAAAGGCAGCAGUCUGGAGGACAUCCUUCGCCCAUCGGUGGGCAGCCAGGGCUGUUGGCACAUCGCAGAGCACCACGAGCGGGACGUGCUGCUCUUCCAGUUCCUUGGAGGUAUCAGGAGGAAAGGCAUCACGUGCCAUUACGUCAGUUCUCAAGCUGCUCAUUCAGACAUUGCCACGAUACAGCUCCUCUCCCCAUUCCAUAGCAGCUCAUUUCCACAACGCCGAAGAAUCCACGUCUCUUUUCCAUACGGCGACUUAAAGUGGAAAGAUGAAGGGGAUGGGAACGUGCAUUCGUUCCUAUCGUGCUGUCAGACAGCAGGGAGGUUUGGCCCUGCUCCUGCAGGCAGCCCCCCGACAGCAUGGGAGCCCAUGGGAAGAACGGGGCUGUCUUCAGUCACUGCAGGAAUGACUUAUGGUUAAAAUUAAAUCCGGUUUAGUCAAC
RNAcentral lists this long non-coding RNA (682 nucleotides) under Gallus gallus (chicken). RNAcentral's name for it is "long non-coding RNA NONGGAT007922". Lineage: Eukaryota; Metazoa; Chordata; Aves; Galliformes; Phasianidae. The record is from RNAcentral.